CAGUAGCCACGGUAAUACGAGGGGGGCAAGCGUUGUUCGGAAUUAUUGGGCGUAAAGGGUGCGUAGGCGGUUUGGCAAGUUUGGUGUGAAAUCUUCGGGCUCAACUCGAAGUCUGCAUCAAAACCUGCCGGGCUUGAGUAUGGGAGAGGUGAGUGGAAUUUCCGGUGUAGCGGUGAAAUGCGUAGAUACCGGAAGGAACACCUGUGGCGAAGGCAGCCAUCUGGCCUAAUACUGACGCUGAGGUACGAAAGCAUGGGGAGCAAACAGGAUUAGAUACCCCGGUAGUCCCUGUCUCUUAUAA
This 301-nucleotide ribosomal RNA is filed under the name uncultured bacterium. RNAcentral's name for it is "partial 16S ribosomal RNA". It matches the Rfam family "Bacterial small subunit ribosomal RNA", at positions 509 to 809 of the family's 1533-position model. The record is from RNAcentral.